AGCAGCCGCGGUAAUUCCAGCUCCAAUAGCGUAUAUUAAAGUUGUUGCAGUUAAAAAGCUCGUAGUUGAAUUUCGGGAUCAAGGAAUCGGUCAUGCCUUGGUAUGUACUGGUUUUAUUGGUUCUCACCUUCUAAAGAACCAUAAUGUCAUUCAUUUGAUGUUAUGGGGAAUUAGGACUGUUACCUUGAAAAAAUUAGAGUGUUUAAAGCAGGCUUACGCUUGAAUACAUUAGCAUGGAAUAAUGAAAUAGGACAUCAGAUUCUAUUUUGUUGGUUUCUAGGAUCGAUGUAAUGAUUAAUAGGGAUAGUUGGGGGCAUUAGUAUUCAAUUGUCAGAGGUGAAAUUCUUGGAUUUAUUGAAGACUAACUACUGCGAAAGCAUUUGCCAAGGAUGUUUUCAUUAAUCAAGAACGAAAGUUAGGGGAAUCGAAGACGAUCAGAUACCGUCGUAGUCUUAACCAUAAACUAUAGCCGACUAGGGAUCGGAUGAUGUUAAUUUUUUAAUGUACUCAUUCGGCGUCC
This 520-nucleotide ribosomal RNA is filed under the name uncultured Glomus. Its description in RNAcentral is "SSU rRNA". It matches the Rfam family "Eukaryotic small subunit ribosomal RNA", at positions 569 to 1088 of the family's 1831-position model. The record is from RNAcentral. Lineage: Eukaryota; Fungi; Glomeromycota; Glomeromycetes; Glomerales; Glomeraceae.